AGUGGCGGACGGGUGAGUAACGCGUGAGAAUCUGCCUUGGGGUCGGGGACAACCACUGGAAACGGUGGCUAAUACCGGAUAAGCCGAUUGGUGAAAGAUUUAUUGCCCGAAGAGGAGCUCGCGUCUGAUUAGCUAGUUGGUGAGGUAAGAGCUCACCAAGGCAGCGAUCAGUAGCUGGUCUGAGAGGACGAUCAGCCACACUGGGACUGAGACACGGCCCAGACUCCUACGGGAGGCAGCAGUGGGGAAUUUUCCGCAAUGGGCGAAAGCCUGACGGAGCAAGACCGCGUGAGGGAGGAAGGCUCUUGGGUUGUAACCUCUUUUCUCAGGGAAGAAGCUCUGACGGUACCUGAGGAAUCAGCCUCGGCUAACUCCGUGCCAGCAGCCGCGGUAAUACGGAGGAGGCAAGCGUUAUCCGGAAUUAUUGGGCGUAAAGCGUCCGCAGGUGGCGAUUCAAGUCUGCUGUCAAAGCACGGGGCUUAACUCCGUAAAGGCAGUGGAAACUGAAUAGCUAGAGUGCCGUAGGGGUAGAGGGAAUUCCCGGUGUAGCGGUGAAAUGCGUAGAGAUCGGGAAGAACAUCGGUGGCGAAAGCGCUCUACUGGACGGCAACUGACACUCAGGGACGAAAGCUAGGGGAGCGAAUGGGAUUAGAUACCCC
This 659-nucleotide ribosomal RNA is filed under the name uncultured bacterium. RNAcentral describes it as "bacterial SSU rRNA". It matches the Rfam family "Bacterial small subunit ribosomal RNA", at positions 94 to 788 of the family's 1533-position model. The record is from RNAcentral.